UGGGGAAUAUUGGACAAUGGGCGAAAGCCUGAUCCAGCCAUGCCGCGUGUGUGAAGAAGGUCUUCGGAUUGUAAAGCACUUUAAGUUGGGAGGAAGGGCAGUAAGCGAAUACCUUGCUGUUUUGACGUUACCGACAGAAUAAGCACCGGCUAACUCUGUGCCAGCAGCCGCGGUAAUACAGAGGGUGCAAGCGUUAAUCGGAAUUACUGGGCGUAAAGCGCGCGUAGGUGGUUCGUUAAGUUGAAUGUGAAAGCCCCGGGCUCAACCUGGGAACUGCAUCCAAAACUGGCGAGCUGGAGUAGGGCAGAGGGUGGUGGAAUUUCCUGUGUAGCGGUGAAAUGCGUAGAUAUAGGAAGGAACACCAGUGGCGAAGGCGACCACCUGGGCUCAUACUGACACUGCAGUGCGAAAGGGUGGGGAGCAAACAGG
RNAcentral lists this ribosomal RNA (429 nucleotides) under Pseudomonadota bacterium. Its description in RNAcentral is "Proteobacteria bacterium partial 16S ribosomal RNA". It matches the Rfam family "Bacterial small subunit ribosomal RNA", at positions 355 to 776 of the family's 1533-position model. The record is from RNAcentral. Lineage: Bacteria; Pseudomonadati; Pseudomonadota.